GACGAACGCUGGCGGCGUGCUUAACACAUGCAAGUCGAACGGAAAGGCCCUGCUUUUGUGGGGUGCUCGAGUGGCGAACGGGUGAGUAACACGUGAGUAACCUGCCCUUGACUUUGGGAUAACUUCAGGAAACUGGGGCUAAUACCGGAUAGGAGCUCCUGCUGCAUGGUGGGGGUUGGAAAGUUUCGGCGGUUGGGGAUGGACUCGCGGCUUAUCAGCUUGUUGGUGGGGUAGUGGCUUACCAAGGCUUUGACGGGUAGCCGGCCUGAGAGGGUGACCGGCCACAUUGGGCCCGAGAUACGGCCCAGACUCCUACGGGAGGCAGCAGGGGGGAAUAUUGCACAAUGGGCGGAAGCCUGAUGCAGCAACGCCGCGUGCGGGAUGACGGCCUUCGGGUUGUAAACCGCUUUCGCCUGUGACGAAGCGUGAGUGACGGUAAUGGGUAAAGAAGCACCGGCUAACUACGUG
RNAcentral lists this ribosomal RNA (468 nucleotides) under uncultured bacterium. RNAcentral describes it as "partial 16S ribosomal RNA". It matches the Rfam family "Bacterial small subunit ribosomal RNA", at positions 28 to 507 of the family's 1533-position model. The record is from RNAcentral.